Cavia porcellus (domestic guinea pig) is the source of this 104-nucleotide ribosomal RNA. NCBI's taxonomy places the organism in Eukaryota, Metazoa, Chordata, Mammalia, Rodentia, Caviidae. The record is from Ensembl.
UUCUAUGGCCAUAGCACCCAGAGUGCACCUGACCUCAUCUGAUCUCGAAAGCUAAGCAGAGUCAGGCCUGGAGAGCACUAGGCUGGAACAUAUCGCUUUUGUAA